GGGCCUGUAGCUCAGCGGCAGAGCAUCGCCCUUGCAAGGCGGGGGUCCCGGGUUCAAAAAUAACCCCCUUUCUUUCCCAAAAGAAAGGUGCUUAUCAGCCUCCAAAGAAAGGGGGCAUUGCUUUGCAAUGCCUUUGAAGGGAGACUGUUAUGGGGCUUGAUAUGCUUUGAAAAUCCCGGCGGGUCCA
This 187-nucleotide transfer RNA is filed under the name Microcaldota archaeon. RNAcentral's name for it is "tRNA-Ala". The stretch from base 1 to 56 matches the Rfam family "tRNA". The record is from RNAcentral. Lineage: Archaea; Nanobdellati; Microcaldota.